CCCUCUCCCCCCUCUCCCCCUCUGUCGCCUGGCUUCUGCAGUAAAAGCUGCUUCGUGUAGAUGACCUGUCAGUUGAUUCAAAGAUGUUCGAGUUUUCAGGUAGUAGUAUAUUUACUAUCGCCAUUUAAUGAUGUGGGCUUGGCGUGCUUUCUUGAAUUCUUGUCCAGGUUCCUCUUUGGGUUUCUUUUAUCUUUUUCUUCUUCUUCUCCGUGGAGGGCUGAUCUUUGUAGACGAGAUGUGUCAGAGAAAUAAAGGCGAGGAUCUUCUCAUCAGCCUGUGAGAAUUGAAGUGUAAUGUUUUCAUAACUCUGCCCCCUCAUCCCCUCUAUCUCCCU
Molecule: long non-coding RNA, 334 nt
Filed under: Spirodela polyrhiza (greater duckweed)
Lineage: Eukaryota; Viridiplantae; Streptophyta; Magnoliopsida; Alismatales; Araceae
Description: long non-coding RNA (SPOL_LNC000618)
Source: RNAcentral